Molecule: ribosomal RNA, 497 nt
Filed under: uncultured bacterium
Lineage: Bacteria
Description: partial 16S ribosomal RNA
Rfam family: Bacterial small subunit ribosomal RNA
Source: RNAcentral
GAUGAACGCCGGCGGCGUGCCUAAUACAUGCAAGUCGAGCGAACGGACGAGAAGCUUGCUUCUCUGAUGUUAGCGGCGGACGGGUGAGUAACGCGUGGAUAACCUACCUAUAAGACUGGGAUAACUUCGGGAAACCGGAGCUAAUACCGGAUAAUAUUUUGAACCGCAUGGUUUUAAAGUGCAAGUCGGUCUUGCUGUCCCUUAUAGCUGGAUCCGCGCUGCAUUCGCUAUUUGGUAAGGUAACGGCUUACCAAGGCAACGAUGCAUAGCCAACCUGAGCGGGUGAUCGUCCACACUGGAACUGAGACACGGUCCAGACUCCUACGGAAGGCAGCAGUAGGGAAUCUUCCGCAGUAGGCGAAAGCCUGAAGGAGCAGCGCCGCAUAAGUGAGGAAGGUCUUCGGAGCGUAAAACUCUGUUAUUAGAGAAGAACAUAUGUGUAAGUAACUGUGCACAUCUUGGCGGUACCUAAUCAGAAAGCCACGGCUAACUACGUG